Molecule: ribosomal RNA, 483 nt
Filed under: uncultured bacterium
Lineage: Bacteria
Description: bacterial SSU rRNA
Rfam family: Bacterial small subunit ribosomal RNA
Source: RNAcentral
AGAGUUUGAUCAUGGCUCAGAGUGAAUGCUGGCGGCAUGCUUUAUACAUGCAAGUCGAACGGAGAAGUAAUUUUUUGUAGCAAUACAGAAAGUUUUUUUUAGUGGCGAGCGGGUGAGUAAUAUAUAGGAACUUACUCAAUAGUGGGGGAUAACAGUUGGAAACGACUGCUAAUACCGCAUAUUCCCGAGAGGGGAAAGGUAUUUAUAUCGCUAUCGAAGAGGCUUAUAUCUGAUUAGCUAGUUGGUGAGAUAACUGCUUACCAAGGCAAUGAUCAGUAGCCGGUCUGAGAGGAUGAUCGGCCACAUUGGGACUGAGAUACGGCCCAAACUCCUACGGGAGGCAGCAGUAGGGAAUAUUGGACAAUGGACGAAAGUCUGAUCCAGCAAUGCCGCGUGAGUGAUGAAGGUGUUAUGCAUCGUAAAGCUCUUUUAACAGGGAAGAUAAUGACAGUACCUGUAGAAUAAGCACCGACUAACUAUGUG